ACGAGCGCACCCCUGUCGUGUGUUACAAGUGUCACACGAGACUGCCGGUUUCAUGCCGGAGGAAGGAGGGGAUGACGUCAAGUCAGCAUGUCCUUUAUAUCCUGGGCUACGCACACGCUACAAUGGCCGGGACAAUGGGUAGCCAAGCCGCGAGGCGGAGCCAAUCCUCCAAACCCGGUCUCAGUUCGGAUUGCAGGCUGCAACUCGCCUGCAUGAAGUCGGAGUUGCUAGUAAACGCACGUCAGCACAGUGCGUUGAGUACGUUCCCGGGUCUUGUACACACCGCCCGUCACGUCAUGGAAGCUGGCAACACCUGAAGCCGGUGGCCUAACCCUAACGGGAGGGAGCCGUCCAAGGUGGGGUUGGUGACUGGGACGAAGUCGUAACAAGGUAGCUGUAGCGGAAGCUGCGGCUGGAUCACCUCCUUU
Molecule: ribosomal RNA, 428 nt
Filed under: uncultured bacterium
Lineage: Bacteria
Description: bacterial SSU rRNA
Rfam family: Bacterial small subunit ribosomal RNA
Source: RNAcentral